GGCCGGAUCCCAGACAACGGAUAAUCUGUGAACCCCGCCAGGUCCGGAAGGAAGCAACGGUAACAGGGAUUCCGGGUGUCUGGUGUAUCCGGCUUUU
This 97-nucleotide signal recognition particle RNA is filed under the name Pseudomonadota bacterium. RNAcentral describes it as "Proteobacteria bacterium (hot springs metagenome) signal recognition particle sRNA small type". It matches the Rfam family "Bacterial small signal recognition particle RNA". From Rfam's summary of the family: The signal recognition particle (SRP) is a universally conserved ribonucleoprotein involved in the co-translational targeting of proteins to membranes. Archaeal SRP consists of a 7S RNA and homologues of the eukaryotic SRP19 and SRP54 proteins. The record is from RNAcentral. Lineage: Bacteria; Pseudomonadati; Pseudomonadota.